UGCCGUUUACAGUGUUUGGUACCCAGCCAAGCUCCUGAGCCCUGGGAACAGCCUUAUUUAGCGCUCGGAGAUUUGGGUCAGAGGCUCCCCAGAAGCCGGUGCAGGGAGAGACAUGAACAAUCGCUGCCCAGCCAGCCGGCAGCCAUAGGGACAGAAGGGGAAGACUCAGCUGGCAGCGGAGAGUCCCACCAAGUAGCCUUGGGCCCGCUUUCCGAGGAGGCUGUUUUCUUCCCAACUGCUCUGCAUCUGCCUGGAUGGCAGCCAGAGGCUGGGAGCAGCAUGGCUGGUAUGCUCUGGGUGAGGCUGGUGGCCAUGGCAACAGGAGGGGAGUGACUGUCCCUGAGGGUGAGAACAGCCGGUAAGAUUAGGAUUAGGCGGGAGAGGCGGGGGAGGAGAGGUGAAGGUUGGACCUGCAUGGAGAAAGGCCGUCUUAUUGUGGACAAAGCCACAGGCAAAACAGCGGUGAAGGCCUGUCUCAGACUUGGAUUGUGGCUCAGACUUAGACUCCUCCCCUCCAAUAAGCAGGGAGCCUGCUAGACCUCGAGAUCAUCAUUACCCCGGUGACUGUUCCCAGCAAACAGAGUAAACGAAUGGAGAACCACCCACCUCCUGUGGGCUCACCCCAGGGAGAUAUUCCUGUGACAGACACUCUCCAACGACAUGGUGCCCCAUAAGAGAGGGCAUGCUAUCUCCUUCGGCCCAUUCUUCAAGCUCGUGUGCCGAAGGAAGCGAGUUAUUAUGUUGUGAUUAAUGCUGUGGAGAGGACCACGUGACAGGCUUAAUGUUACUGACCCGUCGCCAGCCUGGACUUGAGGCUGGCUGAGUUCCUAACAGGAGUGAGCUCCAGAGUGAAGUGCCCGCAGUGGAGCCUGUCUCCGCUGCUGACACUGCAGCCUGGCGAGAAGACCCUGUGUCAGAGUUUCCCAGCCAUGCCAUGCCCAGGAUUCUAGCCCAGAGGACUUGUUUUAAUCCUAUACCCCUGGAAUGUGUUCUCUUUGCAUGCUGCCUCCACCCCUGCCUUCACACACCACCAGCAAUGGGAGGACAGCCAGGAGCCCUGGGUGUAGCAACCAGAGGGUUCCAUUCAGCAAGGAAGGUCCAUCCCUCCUCCAGCAGAGCCUGAGCCUCAGGGAGCAUGGCACCAUCACAGUGACUGGAAUCAAGAGAGGACCUGCAUUGGUAGGGUGCACUGGCAAUGCAGAAUGAUGGUGAGAAAACCCUCAGAGGCUUUUCCACAGCCCCCAGAAGAUUGCCUGACAUGGGCAUGGAGGAGGGAGAGCUGUUGUGUGGGCCACCAAUGCUGCUCAAACCAAGGGUCUGGGAUAGACUGUUGUUUUCCGAGAGCACUGAACCAUCCUGUAUCUGAUGUGAGUGAGAGUCAGCCUGUGAGUACUACCCUGAUGGUUCAAUCUCGCCCAACCCAGAGGAAAUACCUAGGAGGCGAGCUAGAGCGCUCAGCUCAGGUGGUUUCCCUUCUGACAAGGCGCCUGACAAGGGUGCCCUAGGACAGCCUCAUAGGCACAAGUCUCAGAACUCUUCAGAGCAUCUGAGGUGGAGAAUUGGAGAGGGUUCUGAAGUAGGAAAUGGGGACUGCCAUCCACCUAAGUUUCAGGCAGGCCCAGGAGCCCCACCUCGGUGGCACCAUCAGCCUGGCAGAGGAGGAUAAGAAAAGUUUGGAGAGGGCACUCUAAAGCACAGGACCAGGUGAUGCCUGGGGCCAGCCCAAGGACCCCGCCUGCCUGGAUCUGAGGGGCACCAGUGAAUGACCCAGGGGUCAGUUCAGGUUCUCCAAGAAGCAGGUGCCAAGACAGGAUUAGAUGUGCAAGACAUUUGCUUGGGGAACAUGCCUCUGGGGGAGUGGG
Pipistrellus kuhlii (Kuhl's pipistrelle) is the source of this 1862-nucleotide long non-coding RNA. RefSeq lists it as uncharacterized. Lineage: Eukaryota; Metazoa; Chordata; Mammalia; Chiroptera; Vespertilionidae. The transcript is spliced from 3 exons. The record is from RefSeq and is a predicted model, not a curated record.